UGGGGAAUUUUGCGCAAUGGGGGCAACCCUGACGCAGCAACGCCGCGUGCGGGACGACGGCCUUCGGGUUGUAAACCGCUUUCAGCAGGGAAGACCGACGACGGUACCUGCAGAAGAAGCCCCGGCUAACUACGUGCCAGCAGCCGCGGUAAUACGUAGGGGGCGAGCGUUAUCCGGAUUCAUUGGGCGUAAAGCGCGCGUAGGCGGCGCGCCAAGCGGAACCUCUAACCUCGGGGCUCAACCUCGAGUCGGGUUCCGAACUGGCGCGCUCGAGUUCGGUAGAGGCAGGCGGAAUUCCCGGUGUAGCGGCGGAAUGCGCAGAUAUCGGGAAGAACACCGAUGGCGAAGGCAGCCUGCUGGGCCGACACUGACGCUGAGGUGCGAAAGCUAGGGGAGCGAACAGGAUUAGAUACCCUGGUAGU
Molecule: ribosomal RNA, 422 nt
Filed under: uncultured Coriobacteriaceae bacterium
Lineage: Bacteria; Bacillati; Actinomycetota; Coriobacteriia; Coriobacteriales; Coriobacteriaceae
Description: bacterial SSU rRNA
Rfam family: Bacterial small subunit ribosomal RNA
Source: RNAcentral